Gymnothorax javanicus (giant moray) is the source of this 75-nucleotide non-coding RNA. Lineage: Eukaryota; Metazoa; Chordata; Actinopteri; Anguilliformes; Muraenidae. The record is from the annotation of a GenBank genome assembly.
GCAGCACGGUGGUGCAGUGGUUAGCACUGUUGCCUCACAGCAAGAACAUUGCCUGUUCGAACCCGGCCUGGGGCC